RNAcentral lists this ribosomal RNA (253 nucleotides) under uncultured bacterium. RNAcentral describes it as "partial 16S ribosomal RNA". It matches the Rfam family "Bacterial small subunit ribosomal RNA", at positions 524 to 776 of the family's 1533-position model. The record is from RNAcentral.
CACGUAGGAGGCAAGCGUUAUCCGGAUUUACUGGGCGUAAAGCGCGUGUAGGCGGUUUGGUAAGUUGGAUGUGAAAUCUCCUGGCUCAACUGGGAGAGGUCGUUCAAUACUACCAGACUAGAGGACGGUAGAGGAAGGUAGAAUUCCCGGUGUAGUGGUGAAAUGCGUAGAUAUCGGGAGGAAUACCAGUGGCGAAGGCGGCCUUCUGGGCCGUUCCUGACGCUCAGACGCGAAAGCGUGGGUAGCGAACGGG